RNAcentral lists this ribosomal RNA (404 nucleotides) under uncultured bacterium. RNAcentral's name for it is "partial 16S ribosomal RNA". It matches the Rfam family "Bacterial small subunit ribosomal RNA", at positions 28 to 526 of the family's 1533-position model. The record is from RNAcentral.
GACGAACGCUGGCGGCGUGCUUAACACAUGCAAGUCGAGCGGAGCGGCGAACGGGUGAGUAACGCGUGAGUAACUGCCCCCCUCUCUGGGAGAACAGUUGGAAACGGCUGCUAAUACCGGAUAGUGGGGGAUGACUCGCGUCCUAUCAGCUUGUUGGGGGGGUAGUGGCCUACCAAGGCGACGGCGGGUAGCCGGCCUGAGAGGGCGACCGGCCACCUUGGACUGGGAUACGGCCCAGACUCAGACAGCAGGCAGCAGUGGGGGAUAUUGCACAAUGGGCGAAAGCCUGAUGGAGCGGCGCGCGUGGGGGAUGAAGGCUUUCGAGUUGUAAACCUCUUUCGCUAUCGAACGGGUAGGUGGAGAAGAAGCGCCGGCUAACUACGUGCCAGCAGCCGCGGUAAUUC